AUUGAACGCUGGCGGCAUGCCUUGCACAUGCAAGUCGAACGGUAACAGGUCUUCGGAUGCUGACGAGUGGCGAACGGGUGAGUAAUACAUCGGAACGUGCCUAGUAGUGGGGGAUAACUACUCGAAAGAGUGGCUAAUACCGCAUGAGAUCUACGGAUGAAAGCAGGGGAUCGCAAGACCUUGUGCUACUAGAGCGGCCGAUGGCAGCUUAGGUAGUUGGUGGGAUAAAAGCUUACCAAGCCGACGAUCUGUAGCUGGUCUGCGAGGACGAUCAGCCCCACUGGGGCUGAGACACGGCCCAGACUCCUACGGGAGGCAGCAGUGGGGAAUUUUGGACAAUGGGCGAAAGCCUGAUCCAGCAAUGCCGCGUGCAGGAUGAAGGCCUUCGGGUUGUAAACUGCUUUUGUACGGAACGAAAAGCCCCGGGUUAAUACCCUGGGGUCAUGACGGUACCGUAAGAAUAAGCACCGGCUAACUACGUGCCAGCCGCCGCCGUAA
RNAcentral lists this ribosomal RNA (498 nucleotides) under uncultured bacterium. Its description in RNAcentral is "partial 16S ribosomal RNA". It matches the Rfam family "Bacterial small subunit ribosomal RNA", at positions 30 to 523 of the family's 1533-position model. The record is from RNAcentral.